AUUAAUUUUUAUAACUAAAAAUUGGCCUAUAUACUUUCUUCAACUUUUCAUAUUAGCAUAUUUUUUAUUAUUUUGUUGUUUAUAUCCUGGUGUGGCUAUCUUCUGGCCUGCCAGUUCUGAGCCGAGAGUUAGGCCAUGCAACUUAGGCGAAGGCCUGGGUUUCGUGACUACUAGAGUGGAAGGCACCGCGUGAGACUGGUUUCACAUAGCAGCGAAAACCUCUCGCUCUUGGCAGAGCUCCUAAAGGAUCACAGGCUGGUGCUACUGGGAUCCAUCAUGGCCCAACGAGCUGUCCGUAAUUGAA
Molecule: signal recognition particle RNA, 304 nt
Filed under: Morus notabilis
Lineage: Eukaryota; Viridiplantae; Streptophyta; Magnoliopsida; Rosales; Moraceae
Description: Plant signal recognition particle RNA
Rfam family: Plant signal recognition particle RNA
Source: Rfam by way of RNAcentral